GAAGGUGUGCUGUGAGGCAUGCUGGAGGUAUCAGAAGUGCGAAUGCUGACAUAAGUAACGAUAAAGCGGGUGAAAAGCCCGCUCGCCGGAAGACCAAGGGUUCCUGUCCAACGUUAAUCGGGGCAGGGUGAGUCGACCCCUAAGGCGAGGCCGAAAGGCGUAGUCGAUGGGAAACAGGUUAAUAUUCCUGUACUUGGUGUUACUGCGAAGGGGGGACGGAGAAGGCUAUGUUGGCCGGGCGACGGUUGUCCCGGUUUAAGCGUGUAGGCUGGUUUUCCAGGCAAAUCCGGAAAAUCAAGGCUGAGGCGUGAUGACGAGGCACUACGGUGCUGAAGCAACAAAUGCCCUGCUUCCAGGAAAAGCCUCUAAGCAUCAGGUAACAUCAAAUCGUACCCCAAACCGACACAGGUGGUCAGGUAGAGAAUACCAAGGCGCUUGAGAGAACUCGGGUGAAGGAACUAGGCAAAAUGGUGCCGUAACUUCGGGAGAAGGCACGCUGAUAUGUAGGUGAAGUCCCUCGCGGAUGGAGCUGAAAUCAGUCGAAGAUACCAGCUGGCUGCAACUGUUUAUUAAAAACACAGCACUGUGCAAACACGAAAGUGGACGUAUACGGUGUGACGCCUGCCCGGUGCCGGAAGGUUAAUUGAUGGGGUUAGCCGCAAGGCGAAGCUCUUGAUCGAAGCCCCGGUAAACGGCGGCCGUAACUAUAACGGUCCUAAGGUAGCGAAAUUCCUUGUCGGGUAAGUUCCGACCUGCACGAAUGGCGUAAUGAUGGCCAGGCUGUCUCCACCCGAGACUCAGUGAAAUUGAACUCGCUGUGAAGAUGCAGUGUACCCGCGGCAAGACGGAAAGACCCCGUGAACCUUUACUAUAGCUUGACACUGAACAUUGAGCCUUGAUGUGUAGGAUAGGUGGGAGGCUUUGAAGUGUGGACGCCAGUCUGCAUGGAGCCGACCUUGAAAUACCACCCUUUAAUGUUUGAUGUUCUAACGUGGACCCGUGAUCCGGGUUGCGGACAGUGUCUGGUGGGUAGUUUGACUGGGGCGGUCUCCUCCUAAAGAGUAACGGAGGAGCACGAAGGUUGGCUAAUCCUGGUCGGACAUCAGGAGGUUAGUGCAAUGGCAUAAGC
RNAcentral lists this ribosomal RNA (1129 nucleotides) under Escherichia coli. RNAcentral's name for it is "partial 23S ribosomal RNA". It matches the Rfam family "Bacterial large subunit ribosomal RNA", at positions 1252 to 2364 of the family's 2925-position model. The record is from RNAcentral. Lineage: Bacteria; Pseudomonadati; Pseudomonadota; Gammaproteobacteria; Enterobacterales; Enterobacteriaceae.